UACGGAGGGUGCAAGCGUUAUCCGGAUUCACUGGGUUUAAAGGGUGCGUAGGUGGGUAGGUAAGUCAGUGGUGAAAUCCCCGAGCUUAACUUGGGAACUGCCGUUGAUACUAUCUAUCUUGAAUAUCGAGUAGGUAAGCGGAAUAUGUCAUGUAGCGGUGAAAUGCUUAGAUAUGACAUAGAACACCAAUGGCGAAGGCAGCUUACUUCAAGAUUAUUGACACUGAGGCACGAAAGCGUGGGGAUCAAACAGG
Molecule: ribosomal RNA, 253 nt
Filed under: uncultured bacterium
Lineage: Bacteria
Description: partial 16S ribosomal RNA
Rfam family: Bacterial small subunit ribosomal RNA
Source: RNAcentral